Triticum dicoccoides is the source of this 671-nucleotide RNA transcript. It is a transcript of the gene named aspartic proteinase oryzasin-1-like, with no coding region annotated. NCBI's taxonomy places the organism in Eukaryota, Viridiplantae, Streptophyta, Magnoliopsida, Poales, Poaceae. The transcript has 6 exons. The record is from RefSeq and is a predicted model, not a curated record.
CCGGCAGUGUAUCAUAGCAAGUUCCUUACACUAGCAAAUUCUGUGUUUUUUGUAUUUUUGACGAUGCAAGCCUGUUCUUCAACUAUAAAAGGAGCAGAUAUUUCUUUUCUUGUCAAGUCUAAUCCUUUUUUGAUGCAUUGCAGAUUGCUAUCAAACUCUCAAAAAGGAAAAUCAGCUUUAUUCUAAUUUGGCAAAGCUUGGAGGAUAUUUUUACAGCAUGAAGAUAAGAGGAUGGGAAGGGAUGAUCUUCAUGAGCCUCAGUGGUACUAUCAUAUUAUCAUAACUGCUGCAAAGUUCAUAUAAUGAUCCCUGUUUCAGACUCGGAUCAAAGGAACAAGCUGAUCAAUACGUUUCAGCCAUGGAGAUUCCGUUAGCUUUCAGACAAAGUAAUCCAGUAGAUAGGUCAACAGAUUUUCAAGGAACAACAAGCCUUCAAUGAACUCAGCCGGUAAUAGAAGGGAGUCCAGUACUAGCUAAUUCCACUUAGUACAAGAUGUAUGCCUGAUUAUCUGUGUGCGCAAUUUGUCAAGAACACACUGUAACAAUUCUCUCAACACAUGCUCCACAGCACGACGACAACGAGCAUCCGGAGAAAUCAUCUGCGUACAUCCUAAAGAUUGGUGAUGGAGAUGCUACCCAGUGCAUGAGUGGAUUCAUAGCCAUGGACAUUC